GGUGUUGGAUGCUGCAUGCUUGAGUUACAAAAGUGAUGAUUUAACAGUUGGGUCAUGUGCAAACACUUCACAUAGUAGUCCAGACAUUAAAAGGAGAAAACAAAGCAACAAGCCAUCUCAAAUGGAACACAAGUCUUGAGAUUGUGUUGGUUUUUGGAUGAAUGAUGGAAUUGGAUUUGGAGGGGGUGCCCUUUAAGUUACAGUAAUAUACAAGAAAAAAGAGAAUGAGACACAGGGUUCUGUGAGGAAUAAAUAAAAAGGUUCAAGGAAAAAAUUCAAGAGCUCCCAAGCUGUUCAUAUAUUGACUAGAAUUCUCAGCAACUAAGGCUAAGCUCAUAUUUAUAACAAAGCUGAAGCUGAUGGCUAGGGAUUAAUGUGGUGGUUCCUCUGCAGAGUUAUACAGUUUUUGUUGUAGCUUCUUUUUCAAGUGAGAGAAAAAGAAAUGAAAAUAUACAUUUAUAUAGAGAAUGAAAGUUAUCUCUUCUUCAAUUUCCAUUUCCCCCUUCCAUUAAU
RNAcentral lists this unclassified non-coding RNA (513 nucleotides) under Hevea brasiliensis (rubber tree). The record is from RNAcentral. Lineage: Eukaryota; Viridiplantae; Streptophyta; Magnoliopsida; Malpighiales; Euphorbiaceae.